Molecule: long non-coding RNA, 469 nt
Organism: Hordeum vulgare subsp. vulgare (domesticated barley)
Lineage: Eukaryota; Viridiplantae; Streptophyta; Magnoliopsida; Poales; Poaceae
Exons: 2
Source: RefSeq, a predicted model, not a curated record
CAAGAGUCUGGAUCAAAUAGUCCUGGAAGAGUCAAAAGAUGUCCUUUUGGAGGUAAGUUCAGUUAUUUCCAGGUAGAUUUGAGAAGAUAAAAAAUGUGUGUUGUCCAUAACGCCGCAUCAUUUUGGACGCAGAUAUAUGCACCAUGGUGUGGCCAUUGUCAGUCACUGGAGCCUAUCUACAACAAGUUGGUCAAGUUUCUCCAUGGCAUUGACUCCCUUGUAAUAGCCAAAAUGGACGGCACAAACAAUGAGCAUCCUCGUGCCAAGGUACUCAACCUAUUGAUGCACAUGGACAUGAUGACUCUUUAGCGUUUAUGGACCAACCAACCUGUAAUCAUGGACCUUAUUGUCUUGUAGACCAUUUGGUGUUUCGAGUGUUUUGGAGCUUGCACUUUGUGCAUGUAGAUACAAACUUGUGUGUUCUGGACCAUCUGAAGUCUCUCAUAGUAACCAAUAGUCCUUAUCUUUU